Molecule: ribosomal RNA, 484 nt
Filed under: uncultured bacterium
Lineage: Bacteria
Description: bacterial SSU rRNA
Rfam family: Bacterial small subunit ribosomal RNA
Source: RNAcentral
AUUGAACGCUGGCGGCAUGCCUAACACAUGCAAGUCGAACGGUAACAGGAGAGAGCUUGCUCUCUUGCUGACGAGUGGCGGACGGGUGAGUAAUGUAUAGGGAUCUGCCUGACAGUGGGGGACAACAGCCGGAAACGGCUGCUAAUACCGCAUACGCUCUACGGAGGAAAGUGGGGGACCUUCGGGCCUCACGCUGACAGAUGAACCUAUAUCAGAUUAGCUAGUUGGUGGGGUAAAGGCCUACCAAGGCGACGAUCUGUAGCUGGUCUGAGAGGAUGAUCAGCCACACUGGGACUGAGACACGGCCCAGACUCCUACGGGAGGCAGCAGUGGGGAAUAUUGGACAAUGGGGGCAACCCUGAUCCAGCAAUGCCGCGUGUGUGAAGAAGGCCUUCGGGUUGUAAAGCACUUUCAAUAGGGAGGAAAAGCUGUGCGUUAAUAGCGUACAGCCGUGACGUUACCUAUAGAAGAAGCACCGCUAACU